UACAGAGGGUGCGAGCGUUAAUCGGAAUUACUGGGCGUAAAGCGCACGUAGGCGGCUUGGUAUGUCGGGUGUGAAAUCCCCGGGCUCAACCUGGGAACUGCAUCCGAAACUGCCUUGCUAGAGUAUGGGAGAGGGAAGUGGAAUUUCCGGUGUAGCGGUGAAAUGCGUAGAUAUCGGAAGGAACAUCAGUGGCGAAGGCGACUUCCUGGACCAAUAUUGACGCUCAGGUGCGAAAGCGUGGGGAGCAAACAGG
RNAcentral lists this ribosomal RNA (253 nucleotides) under uncultured bacterium. RNAcentral describes it as "partial 16S ribosomal RNA". It matches the Rfam family "Bacterial small subunit ribosomal RNA", at positions 524 to 776 of the family's 1533-position model. The record is from RNAcentral.